UUCUUAACAAUCUAGAUGGUCCAUUCACAUUUUCCAUCCCAUCCUAGUCCAGAACCCCAAGGCCAUACCGAAUGCAAUACCAUAAACUACCCCCCGUCCCUACCCCAUCUCAACUUCAAUUUCUCUAAACCCAAAAUAAAAAAAAUCUCUCCUUCACAGUCACUCCACAAGCUACCAAAACCAAACCCCAAUCCUCCCCCCCUCCCCCACUUAGAUUCCAUCCUCCCUCACUGGGCUAAUCGUUUACUAUACUUUAUGCUUCCUAUAAAGCGACCUGUUGAAGCAGUGCUGGUUGAAGGAGAAGAAGCACCAGAUAACAGCAUAUCAGAUUCAUUUUCUUGCAAAAAGAACCGGAUCGAUUGCUCCUUGGAAUCGAACGUGUCUAGUAACAAAAACAGUUGCGUUAUUGGUAAUUGCAGUGACACCGACAGAGAAAGUAACAACCACUGUAAAGGGGAGUUGAUCAUGUCACCUGGUGAUUCGAAACCGAUGGAGAUUGAUGAGGAUCUUCACAGUCGCCAGCUUGCUGUUUAUGGAAGAGAGACGAUGCGAAGGCUUUUUGGUUCCAACGUUCUUGUUUCCGGGAUGCAUGGUCUUGGUGUUGAGAUUGCAAAAAACCUCAUUCUUGCUGGUGUCAAGUCUGUGACAUUGCAUGAUGAAGGAAUAUUGGAGCUGUGGGAUUUAUCCAGCAACUUUGUUUUUUCCGAGAAUGAUGUUGGUAAGAACAGGGCCCUAGCAUCUGUUCAGAAGUUGCAGGAUCUCAACAAUGCAGUCACCAUCUCUACCUUAACUACAGAAUUGACAACAGAACAACUUGAUAAGUUCCAGGCUGUCGUAUUUACAGAUCUCAAUCUUGACAAAGCCAUUGAGUUUAAUGACUACUGCCAUAAUCAUAAGCCCCCCAUCUCUUUUAUCAAGGCUGAAGUUAGAGGUCUCUUUGGCUCUGUGUUUUGUGACUUUGGACCUGAAUUCACAGUGUUUGAUGUUGAUGGAGAGGAACCACACACUGGUAUAAUUGCAUCUAUCAGCAAUGAUAACCCUGCACUGGUGUCAUGCGUUGAUGACGAAAGGCUUGAGUUUCAAGAUGGGGAUCUUGUUGUUUUCUCUGAAGUGAAGGGAAUGACAGAAAUGAAUGAUGGAAAACCAAGAAAGAUUAAAAAUUCCAGACCAUAUUCAUUUAAUCUCGAGGAGGACACCACAAACUUUGCUACCUAUGAGAAAGGUGGGAUUGUCACACAGGUGAAACAACCCAAGGUGUUGAAUUUUAAGCCAUUGAGAGAAGCAAUUAAAGAUCCCGGUGAAUUUCUAUUGAGUGAUUUCUCCAAGUUUGACCGUCCACCUCUCUUGCACUUGGCAUUUCAAGCACUGGACAAGUUCGUGUCUGAGAUGGGUCGUUUCCCUGCUGCUGGUUCAGAAGAAGACGCUCAGAAGCUUAUAUCUCUGGCAAGUCACAUCAAUGAAAACUCCGGAGAUGUGAGAGUAGAGGACAUUAACCAAAAGCUGUUGCGGCACUUUGCGUUUGGUGCCAGGGCUGUACUGAAUCCUAUGGCAGCUAUGUUUGGUGGUCUAGUGGGACAAGAGGUUGUCAAAGCAUGUUCUGGAAAGUUUCAUCCUCUCUUUCAGUUCUUCUAUUUUGAUUCCGUGGAAUCACUUCCAACAACAAAUUUGGAUCCCAGUGACUUCAAGCCACGAAAUAGCCGUUAUGAUGCACAAAUCUCAGUUUUUGGGUCCAAGCUUCAGAAGAAGCUAGAGGAUGCUAAUUUGUUUGUAGUAGGAUCUGGUGCGCUUGGCUGUGAAUUCUUGAAAAAUUUAGCACUGAUGGGUGUUUCAUGUGGUGAACAGGGAAAGCUGACAUUAACUGAUGAUGAUGUGAUUGAGAAGAGUAACUUGAGCAGGCAGUUUCUCUUCCGUGAUUGGAACAUUGGACAGGCCAAAUCCACUGUUGCUGCUUCUGCUGCAACAUUAAUAAAUCCUCAUCUCAAGAUUGAAGCACUGCAAAAUCGUGUGUGCCCUGAAAGUGAGAAUGUAUUUGAUGAUACUUUCUGGGAGAACUUAACUGCUGUUGUCAAUGCUUUAGACAAUGUCAAUGCAAGACUCUAUGUUGACCAGAGGUGCUUGUACUUCCAAAAGCCUCUUCUCGAGUCAGGCACCUUGGGUGCUAAAUGCAACACUCAGAUGAUCAUUCCUCACCUGACUGAAAAUUAUGGUGCUUCAAGGGACCCACCAGAGAAACAAGCACCGAUGUGCACUGUGCAUUCAUUCCCACAUAACAUUGAUCAUUGCUUGACAUGGGCUCGAUCCGAGUUUGAGGGUUUGGUUGAGAAAACACCAACAGAAGUUAAUGCUUAUCUAUCAAAUCCAGUUGAUUAUACUAAUGCUAUGACCAAAGCUGGUGAUGCUCAGUCAAGGGACACCUUGGAACGUGUUCUUGAGUGCCUUGAGAAGGAAAAAUGUGAGACAUUCCAGGAUUGCAUUACAUGGGCGCGUUUAAGGUUUGAAGAUUAUUUUGCUGAUCGGGUGAAGCAGUUGAUCUUCACUUUCCCUGAAGAUGCAUCUACUAGUACUGGUGCUCCGUUCUGGUCAGCACCAAAGCGAUUCCCUCAUCCACUUCAGUUCUCAACUGCAGAUCCAAGUCACCUCCAUUUUGUCAUGGCAGCAUCAAUAUUGCGAGCAGAGACUUUUGGGAUCUCUGUUCCUGAGUGGGUGAAACAUCCUAAGACAUUGGCUGAGGCUGUAGAGAAGGUGAUUGUGCCAGAAUUUCAGCCAAGAGAAGAUGUGAAAAUUGAGACAGAUGAAAAGGCUACCACUAUAUCUACUGUAUCUGUAGAUGAUGCAGCGGUAAUCAAUGAACUUGUCAGGAAACUAGAGCAGUGCAGGCAUAAGUUGCCACCUGAAUACAGGAUGACCCCAAUUCAGUUUGAGAAGGAUGACGAUACAAACUACCACAUGGAUCUGAUAGCCGGUCUUGCCAACAUGAGAGCAAGAAACUACAGCAUUCCUGAGGUUGACAAACUGAAAGCCAAGUUUAUUGCUGGAAGGAUCAUCCCUGCUAUAGCAACCUCCACAGCUAUGGCCACUGGUCUUGUGUGCUUAGAGCUGUAUAAGGUUCUGGAUGGUGGGCACAAGGUGGAGGACUACCGCAAUACAUUUGCCAACCUUGCACUCCCUCUAUUCUCCAUGGCUGAGCCUGUCCCACCCAAGGUUAUCAAGCAUCAGGAUAUGAGCUGGACAGUUUGGGACAGGUGGAUUCUAAAAGACAAUCCUACAUUGAGGGAACUUCUGCAAUGGCUCAAGGAUAAGGGGCUUGAUGCCUAUAGCAUUUCACAUGGUAGUUGCCUGCUCUACAACAGCAUGUUCCCUCGGCACAGAGACAGAAUGGACAGGAAGAUGGUUGAUCUGGUUAGGGAAGUGGCCAAAGCGGACUUGCCUGCAUAUCGUCGCCACUUUGAUGUUGUUGUCGCAUGUGAGGAUGAUGAAGGCAAUGAUGUUGACAUUCCCCCAGUAUCCAUUUACUUCUCUUAGGUUAUCCUGUCCAUUUCCCAGCCAGCUCGUCAUUCUUGAUUUUACGAUGAGGUUUCGGAGUCCUUUCAACGGUUAUCUGCUGCGGUUCUCGACCCUACUAGUUUUUCUUUGAUCAAGGAGGCUGACUUUGGCAUUUGCAUGGCGGAUACAACCGGGUCCUGCGAGCUGGUGAUAUCUUUCAAUAGAUUUUUGAAAGAGAAUUUAGUGUGAGACGCUAACUUGCCCCAUACGAACUUGAUGUAAUUUUCGUUGUUUGUCGCCGUGACUCCCUUCCUUGUAUGAAAACACGAUAUCCAUAAGCUUAUUGCUAUUUAGAAUAA
Molecule: RNA transcript, 3842 nt
Organism: Populus euphratica (Euphrates poplar)
Lineage: Eukaryota; Viridiplantae; Streptophyta; Magnoliopsida; Malpighiales; Salicaceae
Gene name: ubiquitin-activating enzyme E1 1-like
Exons: 8
Source: RefSeq, a predicted model, not a curated record